RNAcentral lists this ribosomal RNA (253 nucleotides) under uncultured bacterium. RNAcentral describes it as "partial 16S ribosomal RNA". It matches the Rfam family "Bacterial small subunit ribosomal RNA", at positions 524 to 776 of the family's 1533-position model. The record is from RNAcentral.
UACAGAGGGUGCGAGCGUUAAUCGGAAUUACUGGGCGUAAAGCGUGCGUAGACGGUUAUCUAAGUCGGAUGUGAAAGCCCCGGGCUCAACCUGGGAAUUGCAUUUGUGACUGCACGGCUAGAGUGUGUCAGAGGGGGGUAGAAUUCCACGUGUAGCAGUGAAAUGCGUAGAGAUGUGGAGGAAUACCGAUGGCGAAGGCAGCCCCCUGGGAUAACACUGACGCUCAUGCACGAAAGCGUGGGGAGCAAACAGG